AUUGAACGCUGGCGGCAUGCUUUACACAUGCAAGUCGAACGGCAGCGCGGGGCAACCUGGCGGCGAGUGGCGAACGGGUGCGUAAUAUAUCGGAACGUACCCAGAAGUGGGGGAUAACGUAGCGAAAGUUACGCUAAUACCGCAUACGAUCUACGGAUGAAAGUAGGGGACCGCAAGGCCUUAUGCUUUUGGAGCGGCCGAUAUCUGAUUAGCUAGUUGGUGAGGUAAAGGCUCACCAAGGCGACGAUCAGUAGCUGGUCUGAGAGGACGACCAGCCACACUGGAACUGAGACACGGUCCAGACUCCUACGGGAGGCAGCAGUGGGGAAUUUUGGACAAUGGGCGCAAGCCUGAUCCAGCAAUGCCGCGUGAGUGAAGAAGGCCUUCGGGUUGUAAAGCUCUUUUGUCAGGGAAGAAACGGUAGAGGCUAAUAUCCUUUGCUAAUGACGGUACCGGAAGAAUAAGCACCGGCUAACUACGU
Molecule: ribosomal RNA, 481 nt
Filed under: uncultured bacterium
Lineage: Bacteria
Description: partial 16S ribosomal RNA
Rfam family: Bacterial small subunit ribosomal RNA
Source: RNAcentral